Molecule: ribosomal RNA, 446 nt
Filed under: uncultured bacterium
Lineage: Bacteria
Description: bacterial SSU rRNA
Rfam family: Bacterial small subunit ribosomal RNA
Source: RNAcentral
UCCUACGGGAGGCAGCAAUUAGGAAUCUUGCACAAUGGGCGAAAGCCUGAUGCAGCGACGCCGCGUGAGUGAUGAAGUUUCUCGGAAUGUAAAGCUCUGUCCUACAGGGAAGAAGAAUGUGACGGUACCUGUAGAGAAAGCCCCGGCUAACUACGUGCCAGCAGCCGCGGUAAUACGUAGGGGGCGAGCGUUGUCCGAAUUUAUUGGGCGUAAAGCGCGUGUAGGCGGCUCUUUAAGUCAGAUGUGAAAUCCUGCGGCUCAACCGCAGAACUGCAUUUGAUACUGGAGGGCUUGAGUGUGGGAGAGGAAAGUGGAAUUCCAGGUGUAGCGGUGAAAUGCGUAGAUAUCUGGAGGAACACCCGUGGCGAAGGCGGCUUUCUGGCCCACCACUGACGCUGAGACGCGAAGGCUAGGGGAGCGAACGGGAUUAGAUACCCCCGUAGUCC